UGAACUGAUGAUUCAGGCAGCGUACAC
This 27-nucleotide small RNA is filed under the name Bombyx mori (domestic silkworm). RNAcentral's name for it is "ovarian small RNA-30820". The record is from RNAcentral. Lineage: Eukaryota; Metazoa; Arthropoda; Insecta; Lepidoptera; Bombycidae.